RNAcentral lists this ribosomal RNA (441 nucleotides) under bacterium CR4. Its description in RNAcentral is "bacterial SSU rRNA". It matches the Rfam family "Bacterial small subunit ribosomal RNA", at positions 348 to 780 of the family's 1533-position model. The record is from RNAcentral.
GCAGCAGUGGGGAAUAUUGGACAAUGGGGGGAACCCUGAUCCAGCCAUGCCGCGUGUGUGAAGAAGGCCUUUUGGUUGUAAAGCACUUUAAGCGAGGAGGAGGCUACCUAGAUUAAUACUUUAGGAUAGUGGACGUUACUCGCAGAAUAAGCACCGGCUAACUCUGUGCCAGCAGCCGCGGUAAUACAGAGGGUGCGAGCGUUAAUCGGAUUUACUGGGCGUAAAGCGUGCGUAGGCGGCCAAUUAAGUCAAAUGUGAAAUCCCCGAGCUUAACUUGGGAAUUGCAUUCGAUACUGGUUGGCUAGAGUAUGGGAGAGGAUGGUAGAAUUCCAGGUGUAGCGGUGAAAUGCGUAGAGAUCUGGAGGAAUACCGAUGGCGAAGGCAGCCAUCUGGCCUAAUACUGACGCUGAGGUACGAAAGCAUGGGGAGCAAACAGGAUUA